This 160-nucleotide small nuclear RNA is filed under the name Oryza longistaminata (longstamen rice). RNAcentral describes it as "snRNA U1". It matches the Rfam family "U1 spliceosomal RNA". Rfam says of the family: U1 is a small nuclear RNA (snRNA) component of the spliceosome (involved in pre-mRNA splicing). Its 5' end forms complementary base pairs with the 5' splice junction, thus defining the 5' donor site of an intron. Lineage: Eukaryota; Viridiplantae; Streptophyta; Magnoliopsida; Poales; Poaceae. The record is from RNAcentral.
AUACUUACCUGGACGGGGUCGACGGGCGAUCAGUAAGGCUCGUGGCCUAGAUCAAUGGCUCACAUUGCACUUGGUGAGCGCGUUGGUUUACCAUCUUCCCAAGUGGGAGAGUGGACGUCAUAAUUUGUGGUGGGGGGGGUACGCGUUCGCGCGGCCCCUG